GACGGGACCGCACAAGCGGUGGAUGAUGUGGUUUAAUUCGAUGCAACGCGAAAACCUUACCACCUUGACAUGGCAGGAAUCCCGAAGAGAUUUGGGAGUGCUCGAAAGAGAACCUGCACACAGGUGCUGCAUGGCUGUCGUCAGCUCGUGUCGUGAGAUGUUGGGUUAAGUCCCGCAACGAGCGCAACCCUUGCCAUUAGUUGCUACGAAAGGGCACUCUAAUGGGACUGCCGGUGACAAACCGGAGGAAGGUGGGGAUGACGUCAAGUCCUCAUGGCCCUUAUAGGUGGGGCUACACACGUCAUACAAUGGCCGGUACAGAGGGUAGCCAACCCGCGAGGGGGAGCCAAUCCCACAAAGCCGGUCGUAGUCCGGAUCGCAGUCUGCAACUCGACUGCGUGAAGUCGGAAUCGCUAGUAAUCGCGGAUCAGCAUGUCGCGGUGAAUACGUUCCCGGGUCUU
This 461-nucleotide ribosomal RNA is filed under the name uncultured Allobrachymonas sp. RNAcentral describes it as "bacterial SSU rRNA". It matches the Rfam family "Bacterial small subunit ribosomal RNA", at positions 917 to 1381 of the family's 1533-position model. Lineage: Bacteria; Pseudomonadati; Pseudomonadota; Betaproteobacteria; Burkholderiales; Comamonadaceae. The record is from RNAcentral.